RNAcentral lists this ribosomal RNA (85 nucleotides) under Paenibacillus ottowii. RNAcentral describes it as "Paenibacillus sp. MS2379 partial 16S ribosomal RNA". It matches the Rfam family "Bacterial small subunit ribosomal RNA", at positions 1 to 84 of the family's 1533-position model. RNAcentral also lists the same sequence under 1 other name. The record is from RNAcentral. Lineage: Bacteria; Bacillati; Bacillota; Bacilli; Caryophanales; Paenibacillaceae.
UUAAUGGAGAGUUUGAUCCUGGCUCAGGACGAACGCUGGCGGCGUGCCUAAUACAUGCAAGUCGAGCGGGGUUAUUUAGAAGCUU